UGGAUUGGUGCCUUCGGGAACGUCUGACACAGGUGCUGCAUGGCUGUCGUCAGCUCGUGUCGUGAGAUGUUGGGUUAAGUCCCGUAACGAGCGCAACCCUUGUCCUUAGUUACCAGCACGUUAUGGUGGGCACUCUAAGGAGACUGCCGGUGACAACCGGAGGAAGGUGGGGAGUGACGUCAAGUCAUCAUGGCCCUUACGGCCUGGGCUACACACGUGCUACAAUGGUCGGUACAAAGGGUUGCCAAGCCGCGAGGUGGAGCUAAUCCCAUAAAAACCGAUCGUAGUCCGGAUCGCAGUCUGCAACUCGACUGCGUGAAGUCGGAAUCGCUAGUAAUCGUGAAUCAGAAUGUCACGGUGAAUACGUUCCCGGGCCUU
Molecule: ribosomal RNA, 378 nt
Filed under: uncultured Pseudomonas sp.
Lineage: Bacteria; Pseudomonadati; Pseudomonadota; Gammaproteobacteria; Pseudomonadales; Pseudomonadaceae
Description: bacterial SSU rRNA
Rfam family: Bacterial small subunit ribosomal RNA
Source: RNAcentral